Non-coding RNA from Cuculus canorus (common cuckoo), 2583 nucleotides. Lineage: Eukaryota; Metazoa; Chordata; Aves; Cuculiformes; Cuculidae. The record is from the annotation of a RefSeq genome assembly.
GUUCAGUGGUAUAAAAACUCAGCGGGUUGCAGCAAUUGUUGGAGACCUCAGCUACAAGGAGAUACACUGUGUAAGCUCUCCCAUUUGUCCAGGGACCGGAUGUCCAAAUCCUCGCUGUGAGGAACGGCUCCUCAGCGAAUGUGGAUCCAGAUGAUGAUGAUCAUCAUCAUAGUCUCAUAGAAUCACCAGGUUGGAAAAGACCUCUUGGGUCAUCGAUUCCAACCAUUACUACCUGCCACUAAACCACGUCCCUGAGCACCUCGUCUACCCGUAUUUUAAAUCCUUACAGGGAUGGUGGCUCAACCCCCUCCCUGCGCAGCCUCUGCCAGGGCCCCAUGACCCUUGCUGUGAAAAAUCUUUUCCUGAUAUCCAGUCUGACCCUCCCGUGGCACAGCUGGAGUCUGUUCCCCCCCUUGUCCUCUCACUUAUCACUUGGGAGAAGAUUCCAGCUCCCUCCUCUCCACAACCUCCUUGCAGGUAGUUGUAGAGAGCAAUAAAGUCUCCCCUCAGUCUCCUCUUCUCAAGGCUAAACAACCCCAGGUCCCUCAGUCGCUUCCUGAGUGUAGAAGGGACUUGUUCUCCAGCCCCUUCUACAGCUUCCUUGCUCCUCUCUGGACUCACUCCAGAGCCUCAACAUCCUUGUUUUCUAGAGAGGCCCAGAACUGAACACAGGAUUCCAGGUGUGGCUUCACCAGUGCCGAGUCCAGGGGCAGAAUCACCUCCCUGGACCUCCUGGCCACGUCAUUUCUGAUCCAAGCCAAGAUGCCAUUGAACUUCUUGGCCACCUGGGCCACUGCUGGCUCAUUUUCAAUUGAAUGUCAACCAAUACCCCCAGGCCCUUCUCCUCCAGGCAGCUUAUCCAGCCACUCUUCUCCUGGUCUGUAGCUGCACAGGGUUGUUGUGCCCCAAGUGCAGGACCCAGUGUUUGGCCUCGUUAAACCUCAUCCCAUUGGUCUCAGCCCAUCGGUCCAGCCUGUUCAGGUCCCUUUGCAGAGCGUCCCUACCCUCCAGCAGAUCCACACCUCCUCCCAGCUUAGUGUCAUCUGCAAACUUGCUAAGGGUGCACUCAGUGCCUUCAUCCGGGUCAUUGAUAAAGAUACUGAAGUGGACUGGACUCAGCACUGAACCCUGGGGGACACCACUGGUGACGGGACUCCAGCUGGAGUUAAGUCCGUUUACCACAACUCUUUGGGCCCGGCCAUCCAACCAGUUUUCCACUCAGGAGAGGGUGCGCCUGUCCAGGCCAGAGGCAGCCAAGUUUACUAAGCAGAAUGCUGUGAGAAACUGCGUCAAAGGCUUUAUUGAAGUCUAAAAAGACUAUGUCCACAGUCUUUCCCUCGUCCAGGAAGUGGAUCACCUUAUCAUAGAAAGCGAUCAUGUUAUUUUGGCAGAGAAAAGGAGUUGGGGGGUGGUGUGGUGACCAAGCUCAGGGACUUGGGACACAGGAGUGUCAGGGCAAUGCCAAGGAUAAACUCAGGGUGGGUGGAGGAUAGACUAAGAGCACCCUUGAAGAGAAGGGCUUGAGGAGCUGAUGGAUAAGAAGCACAAUAAGAGCUGACAAUAUGCACUUGCCACCCAGAAAUCCAUCCUGCAGAGUCAGGAGUCUGAGCUCAAUGCAGACAGGAGAAGCUGAUGAACAGUAGACUGAAACCUUCACACUUUCUCUCCAGGUUCCAGAACAUAAGGUUGUAGAGGAGCAACAUGGGUCACAGCUAAGAGGAGGGAGGAGCCAAGCACAAGCAUUGCAGCUGUGCUGGGAACAAGCAUUUUCUCCUCCCCAUUUCAUUCUCUGCUCCCCUUGCAGAGUCCUUGCUGGCAGCUCUGCUCCCUCAGGAGGGAUGUGGGGAUUUCUCAGACUCUCUCAGCCCUGCAGGAUGAGUGGUCACAGCUGGCGCCUCACAUAUCUCCUCCUCACUGCCUUCCUGAGGCAGCCACUGGGCACCCUGGGGCAGAUCACCAUCACCCAGCAAGAAGGACCAGUCACACUGAAACAGGGAGACACCUUUCAAACAAACUGCACCUACCGGACCUCCAACUUGCGUGGCUUGCUCUGGUACCAGCAGAGGAAAGGCCAGGCUCCCCAGCUGGUCUCCCAUCAGGCAGGAGCUGGCUCCAAGCGGAACGGACGUUUCACCACAUCCCUGAACCCCACAGAGAAAUCCAGCCUCCUGCAGCUGGAGGAAGUCGAAGGCUCUGACAGCGCCGUGUACCUCUGUGCUGUGCAGGACACGCUGGUGCAGGAGCUGCCUGGGCUGGGCAAAAACCUGGGGCAGGGAGGGGCUGGGGCUGGCAAGGCUGAGCCUGGGGGAAGGCUUUAUUCUGUGCUGCUUCUGCCCAAAGGCUUUGCAGAGGUGGCUUUUGGUUUCCACCAGGCAGAAACCAGAGCAAUGACCAACUUUUCCCUGCUGUUCUCUGCUGGCCAUGGCCACAGGACUGUGGGAUUGUGAGGAGAGACACCUGGAGCAGAAGAUGGGGAUCAUUCCAAUGACUGCUUCUUUUCCACUCCUGAGAAGGUUGGCAACACAGCGGUGAGGGAUGAUGUGCAAAGAAGUGACCCUGCAGGAGAUCCCAGCCUCCCCUUCC